Molecule: long non-coding RNA, 1974 nt
Organism: Salvelinus fontinalis (brook trout)
Lineage: Eukaryota; Metazoa; Chordata; Actinopteri; Salmoniformes; Salmonidae
Exons: 2
Source: RefSeq, a predicted model, not a curated record
GCCCACUACUCAUGUUGCCCUGUGAGGGAGGGUGGCUGGCACUGUUACAUGCUGAUGUUAUUGUCAUAUCUAUAGGAAACUAGUUGAAGAGGUUUUUCUUCUUCUCUUUUAUUGUUACAGAUCUCCUGGUCCAGCCUGAUAUCUCCCUGACUGACUCAAUGGGAGGGGUCUCCAGGGGCCACCAGGGGCCCGAGAUGUUCAGGGGCUACAGCUUCACCAUCACCUGCUCCACUCAGCCACAGUACCCAGGAGGCUCCUUCCUCCUCACGUUCACCGGCUCCAACAGAACCCAGACCCAGCCAGCUGUCAAUCACUCUGCUGCCUUCCUCUUCCCUGCUGCAGAUGACUCCCACCAAGGGAACUACAGCUGUGUUUAUGACAAUUAUGUUUUCUCUCAUAACUUCUCCUCUGAGAGUGAGCUCCUCUCCCUCACCAUCACAGGUAACUGAACAUGAACCAGACUUAUAACUUUGUCAUUGACAGAUUUCCCACAGAUCUAUGUGAUGAUGAUCAGUCCCCUCAUCAAAGGUGUUUCUGUUUGCAGCCUCUCCUCUGCCAGCCUUCAUCAUCAGACACGUUGUAGUGCUGCUGCUCCUACUGACAGCCAUCACCACCUCCUACCUGUACUACAAGCCCACCAGGAGGCAGAAGAGAGUGAACAGGGUGAGCAGCAUGGAUCUUUAUGUCAAUGCCAUGGAGAUGGUCUCUCUGAGCUCCAGAGCUGAAGCUGGACCGGGAGAGGAGAGAGCAGCCCAGGGGACGGAGUAGGAGUAGAAUGAAGCUGACCCUACAUGCUGAUCUUAGGUCAGUUUUGUGUUUUAAAUGGAUGGUCAGCAGUGGACUGGUGUUUAAAAUGUGGUGACAAACCUGAAGUGGUUUAAUUUUAAUAACAAGUUCAGAAUUAGUUUAUCUUUCUAGAACCUUGGAAGAAAUCUAAAAGGAGUGACUGCAACCACCAUUAUUCCUUUUAGUUUGUUUUUUACCACCAGGCUACAUGGGGUUCUGGGUAACAUGGGGUUCUGGGUAACAUGGGGUUCUGGGUAACAUGGGGUUCUGGGUAAUGUGAGGUUCUGGGUAACAUGGGAUUUCGGGUAACAUGGGGUUCUGGGUAACAUGGGGCUCUGGGUAACAUGGGGUUCUGGGUAACAUGGGGUUCUGGGUAACGUGAGGUUCUGGGUAACGUGGGGUUUGGGUAACAUGGUGUUUGGGGUAAUGUGGGGUUUUGGGUAACAUGGGGUUUUGGGUAACAUGGGGUUUUGGGUAACAUGCGGUUUGGGGUAACAUGGGGUUUUGGGUAAAAUGGGGUUUUGGGUAACAUGGGAUUUUGGGUAACAUGGGGUUUUGGGUAACAUGGGGUUUGGGGUAACAUGGGGUUUUGGGUAGCAUGGGGUUAUGAUUAUUUUAAGUGAGUAGCUCAAUUACGUCUGUUUAGUGUUCCAGAAUGUAUUGCUUUUACUUUUGUCUUUAUCUUAUUUAGUGUCUCUUAGAUUCUUUAUCUUAUUUAGUGUCUCUUAGAUUCUUUAUCUUAUUUAGUGUCUCUUAGAUUCUUUAUCUUAUUUAGUGUCUCUUAGAUUCUUUAUCUUAUUUAGUGUCUCUUAGAUUCUUUAUCUUGAAGUGUUUCCAAUAUUCAUCCAGGUAUUAUUAUGGUCUUCUUUUCCUUAAGUCGUUUUGGUUUGUUGUUGUUUACUUCAUGAUGUUGUUGGUGGUAUAUAUAGAUAAUGAUGUUAUUGAUUAUAAAUGUUAUGAUAUUGAUUAUGGUGUAGAUUAUUGUUUGAAUGUUGUGAGUAGUCUAGAGAUAAUAAUUGAAUUGAUUAUAAAUGUCAUGAUAUAAUUAUUGAUUAUGAAGUAGAUUACUGUUAUGAUGUUGCUCUCUAAACUGCCAUGUAAUCAACUGAAUGCUUUUAAUAAAAUUACAGGCUGUCAGUCUUGUGUGAUUCCCCUCUUGGACAGACUACAACAUACAGUAUGAAUUAA